Molecule: ribosomal RNA, 253 nt
Filed under: uncultured bacterium
Lineage: Bacteria
Description: partial 16S ribosomal RNA
Rfam family: Bacterial small subunit ribosomal RNA
Source: RNAcentral
UACGGAGGGUGCAAGCGUUAUCCGGAAUCACUGGGUUUAAAGGGUGCGUAGGCGGGUUAUUAAGUCAGUGGUGAAAGCCGGUCGCUCAACGAUCGAACUGCCAUUGAUACUGAUAGUCUUGAAUUGGGUUGAGGUUAGCGGAAUGUGACAUGUAGCGGUGAAAUGCGUAGAUAUGUCAUGGAACACCAAUUGCGAAGGCAGCUAGCUAGGCCUUGAUUGACGCUGAGGCACGAAAGCGUGGGUAGCGAACAGG